This 24-nucleotide non-coding RNA is filed under the name Cricetulus griseus (Chinese hamster). The record is from RNAcentral. Lineage: Eukaryota; Metazoa; Chordata; Mammalia; Rodentia; Cricetidae.
UUAAAGACAACUACGGAAGCUAUG